AUGCUGUUGCCAUGCUACACGGCUGACACAAGAUGCCUGCUGCCAGGCCCCGCGCCACCAGGGAGCAUGCUGGGAUACGGGCGGGUUCUCGGCCCAGCUUUCAUGUGCACAGCUGCUCACCUUAUAGCCGGCAGUACACCCACGGCCCGUCUGCAGGCUCCCGCCGGACGCUCAAACACACAGGUACUGAACAUCAUGCAUUAUUCAGCAGGUCAGAGGAGAGACCAGCAUCCAUCGCUCUCUCUGUCUCUCAGGUGCAGUGAGUCUAUAGGUGGGCUGCAGUAAUCACGCAUAACCUGUGCCAGAGCUGCUUUUUGUAUGUAUGUUAUAUAUGUGGCCAGGGACCACAAAAUAAGUCAUAUUUUUUUGCAAUUGAUGUUUAUACAUAAUCUGUAAGCUGGAUAAAUAAGCGUUCUAUUGAUUUAUGGUUUGUUAGGAUAGGACUAUAUUUGGCUGAGAUACAACUAUUUGAAAAUCAGGAAGAACUUAAUUGCAUUUUAAAUGCAUUUUAAUAUUUGCCAGAAAUGUAAAUGAAAGAUUGAAAAGAAAAAAUUUAAUAUAUAUAUGUAUAUAUAUAUAUAUAUAUAUAUAUAUAUAUAUAUAUAUAUAUAUAUAUAUAUAUAUAUAUAUAUAUAUAUAUAUAUUAUUUAUUUAAAUAUAAUACAUAUACAUUUUACCAGAUGUAAAAUACAUUUAAAAAUACAUUUAACAAUUUUUUUAAUUAAACAAUAUGCAUAGAGUUCAUUUCUGACUGUUUGUUAGCCAACUAGAUAGAAUUAUUUUGGUGAGAAAUCAACAGAAUUUGCAAUAACAAUGUAGAAUGCAUUACAAAAUAGCAAAAUAGCAAUAUGUAUUUUUUUUUUUUGUUUUUUUUUUGUCGACUGGCCUGAAGCUCUUUCACGCUGAAUCAGUACAUCACCCUUAUUAAUGCACUCUGAUACUGAAGCAUUAGCUCAAUAUUCUGAGGGAAUUGUUACAUUUUAAACUGGCCUGUAAAGUGAAAUGAAUCUCAAUGUAACCGUUUUUUUUUUUUCCUCUCUUAUUCUUUCAGUAAAUAAUUACCGUACGUGUGAUGAGGUAAAGCUGAUCUAUCAGUUAGUUCUUGUACUUCAGAUCUAUUAUGCUUCUUCAUGCUUUUUCUAAAAUAAAUAAAUAAAUAAAUAAAUAAAUAAAUAAAUAAAUAAAUAAAUAAAUAAAUAAAUUGCAAACUUUGCAACAUGAUGCAAGAGUUGUUACUACGGCUUUUCUGUGUGUUUUUUUUUUCCUUCAUCAGAUCACGAGGAGCUCUAGUACUGGUGAUGAUUGACUUCAACUCAUUACAAAAACCUAUUGUGGAACUAAUUGUCACAAACUCCUCCUGUAUCAUUGCGCAAGGGUGUGUGGGUAUUAUUUGCAUAAAAAUUCAGAAUUUGACAAUGCACUACUAAUAAUAUAAUAUCUGAGAAACGUUAUCUCUGUUUGGG
Long non-coding RNA from Cyprinus carpio carpio, 1463 nucleotides. NCBI's taxonomy places the organism in Eukaryota, Metazoa, Chordata, Actinopteri, Cypriniformes, Cyprinidae. The record is from Ensembl.